CAGGUUCCGGUUCACGCCCGCAAGCCAGGUUCGAACUCCAGGGCGACCCGGCGACC
This 56-nucleotide non-coding RNA is filed under the name unclassified sequences. Its description in RNAcentral is "L31-Actinobacteria ribosomal protein leader". It matches the Rfam family "L31-Actinobacteria ribosomal protein leader". The record is from RNAcentral.